RNAcentral lists this non-coding RNA (21 nucleotides) under Caenorhabditis elegans. Lineage: Eukaryota; Metazoa; Nematoda; Chromadorea; Rhabditida; Rhabditidae. The record is from RNAcentral.
UAACGUAACUACUCAGCAAGU